AUGGAAAUAUACACACAAUCUACGAAUGAAGAAGAAAAGACAGAUGAAACUACACAAAUACAAGGCAAUUCAAGUGCGUAUCUAUUUUG
Molecule: non-coding RNA, 89 nt
Filed under: Leptocylindrus danicus
Lineage: Eukaryota; Bacillariophyta; Leptocylindrophyceae; Leptocylindrales; Leptocylindraceae
Source: RNAcentral